This 1688-nucleotide long non-coding RNA is filed under the name Sus scrofa (pig). RNAcentral describes it as "lncRNA (ENSSSCG00050051792.1)". The record is from RNAcentral. Lineage: Eukaryota; Metazoa; Chordata; Mammalia; Artiodactyla; Suidae.
GCCUUUCGGCCCUUUCUCGCUUCUUCUUCCCUCUUUUGUCUCUCUUCCUUGGUACUUGUGUUUGGUUUCACUCCUUCCAUGCCUUCUUCGAAGGCAUCAGAUACUCCGGUUGGACCUGUCACGCGUCGCUGCCACUUCGCUGAUCCCAGACACCCCCCAACCUGACCGUGCGUGGAGGUGAAACGUGCGUUGGAGGAACCUGUGAACGGAGGAGGCUGACCUGAACAGUUUCUCCAAGGAACCCUGGUUCCUUUCAGUGCACAGUGAUGCCUCGAAAUCAAAUCUGCGUGGAGAAACCUUUCACUUUAAAUGACUGUGGAGCCUUGGCUGUCCCAUGGCGCUGGACGUUUUUAAUUACCGGGGAAUGAGAUUGUGCUAAAGGGAGUGAGAAAACCUGUGUUUUCUGAGGCGGAUGAGAACCUGCCCUGACUCAUGCCUGGCCCUGGCAGUUGAGUGACAUCUCCAGCCUCAGGUGUGCUCACCUGCAUGGUGGGACGAGCUGACCCACCUCAGGGGGCUCUGAUGAGGAGGAAGUAAGAGUCCCCCUGUCAUUUUCACUCUAACGGAUGUUCCCCACACAGUGAAUGUGGGGAUAAUUGUCACCUCUGAAGCCCAGAGAGAGACUCGCCCUUCUGGGGGACGGGAGCGGUACCCGGAGGAUGGAGGGUUCAGAUGGGCAGACAGGAGCGGUCCAGCAGCGACCAGAGGUCGACCCUGUGCCCGCGGAUGCACACACGGAGGGACGGUGCCCGUGAGACAGCAUGCCAGGCACUUGGAUGUACAGGCUGUUGGUAAUAGGAGCCCAAACCUACUGUGUGCAGGGAUGGGACGCAGACCCAGCAUCGGAGAUGCGAUGAUUGCCCGAGAAUGGGAGUCGUGGCCGCACGACCGCGUGGGGCCGUGGACCACGGGGAAGAAACACUUCGGGGAAGGACACGCUCUGAACCUACCUACCCCCUCCCCGACCAUGCGCCCUGGGCUUCUGAGCUCUGGGAAGGUGUGGGAGAAAGAGCAAGGCCACAGGGGAGGGCAUCUGGCUGGGGACAAGAGGUUUGGGUCGCUUCUGCAGAGAUUUGGGGGUGGUUUGUCACUUGGCACUAUUGCGGCGAAAGCGCGCUCACGUGUGGCGUUGCCGCAGAAAGGUGCCUGGGACUUAGCGGCGAAGAAACAAACGCCACUGUUUGGAUGGUUGACCUAACGUGCCAACUCGUCACCCCGAAGCAAUGCCCAGGGGGCCGGGAGAACCUGAUCUCUGAGAGGGUCUUUAGGGUGUUUCCAGAAGAGAGGAGCAUUUGAAUGGUCGAGUCCAGGGGGCCCCCUCCCCAGUGUGGGUGGCCGUCACCCAGUCCAUUGGUGGCCCGAACAGAACGACAGGUGGAGGAGACAUCCAUCUUCUCCUGCCGUGGGGACCUCAGCGGCUUUCCUGGUCCUCGGGCUCGCACGCGGCACCUGCUGGGGCUUCUCGGCCUCCAUAGCCACUGAGCCGGCUCCUGCAAUCGUCUCCUCUCAUCUGUGUCUGUAUCUGUUUCUUCGGCUUCUCUGCUGGGUUUCUCUGAAGAACACUGACUAAGACGUUAUUUUGGAAAAAAAUAAUAGGGCAUGGAUGCCAGACUCGGCUUUCUCUACACAUGUCAAUUUCUCUCUCUCUCUCUCUUUUUUUUUUUUUAAACAAACCCUUUUAAAAAAUG